RNAcentral lists this unclassified non-coding RNA (21 nucleotides) under Dictyostelium discoideum. The record is from RNAcentral. Lineage: Eukaryota; Evosea; Eumycetozoa; Dictyosteliales; Dictyosteliaceae.
AGCUGUUAAUGAAGUCAUGGG